UGUUGCUUAUCAGUGAUCAAUGAAGAACAAAUCUGACUAAACUCCAGCAAUGUAAACAUCAUCAAGGAUGAAUCUGUAACACACAGAUGGUAUCCUGAUGAUUAUAUGUGAACCAGUGCAACAGAAACCCAAUCCUAUUGCAGAAGAGUAAUGACCAAGGCAUAUGUUAAAGGAAGGGUGUUUUCCUUCAAACAUAAAUGAUGUUGGAACAAAAAAAUAGAGAAGUUAAGGAAACCUGCAGAUAAGUAAGAAGUAUGGAAAAACUUAUGCUGGGAUGAUGAAGACGGGAAGUCCAGGAGGCCAGACCUUGAUGAUCUUUCCAUGGGGAAAAAGUUGCUAAACGGAUUGUGACAAACUUCGCACCAUAGCCAAUGAAAGUAACACUUCACCUAUGAUUGGAGAUAUCCUGCACAAUGCAGAUGCAAAAAAGAGUUAAGCAAUUUUUUUUUAGUGACCCUUAAGUGUACUCUGUGAAAUAACAACUACUUUUUCAAGUUAUUUUCUUCUCUGAUCUAUUUAUAGAGCAGUUCACAGCACUGUGGGAAAUAAGUCUUUCAGCUGAAUUUGAACUGUGGUUUCAAUGAUAAUAACGAGCAUUGGUGUUUCACAGGUCAGUGCUAUAUUCAUCUGUAGCAGGUUAAAUUAAUUCCAGCCAUUAAAAGAAAAGGCUAGUACAUCUGGCUCUUGACUUAGAGACUUUCCAAUGCUUGUUCGAACUCUCUACUGAUUGGAGAUUGUCUGGCUAAUUAAUAGAAAGCUCUUUUGAAAAUUCUGUUCCAGCAUAAAAUUUGAACCAAAAGUGAUAUAUAUAAAUUGCUAUUAUGAGUAAUAGAAUUUUUUGGGAUAUUGAGAAAAGGAAGACGCACAUGACAAGUUGCCUUCAAAUAGUUUAAUUAUUUAUGUUGAGGUGUAAUACAGAUAAUUCAGCGGCUGGCUUUCAACUGUAAACUCCCAAGAAAAUAAUGCAUAAAUGAACAGAUAGUCCGAUUGCAUUGAUGUUGAUUGAGAAAUAAUUUUGGCCAGAACACAUGGAUAACUCUCCUAUUUGAUGUACCACUUUAGUAUCUUUUCCAGCCAUCCAGGAAAUGAUGUUGCAUUUAUUCAACAAUGCAUCCACAAGCUUGAAUCUAUGACAAUGCCUCAGUGUCUCAUAAAGUUUGCCUGAGUUUUAUUGCCUAGGAGGGACAAUUAAACAUAAUAUUCUGACUAGUCAUGGAGCUUUACAAUGUAUUACAUGACAGUAAAACUAUUGAUGUUUCACUGCUUGUCAAUUAAUAUUAUUAAGAAUGACCCUUUUUCUAUGUUGUGUAAGUAUAAAGUACAAAGUAAAUUUAUUAUCAAAGCUCAUAUGUCAUCCUGUACAGUGCUAAAGUUCAUUUUCUUGCAAGCACAUAGAGUGAAACCAAGAAACACAAUAGAAUCAAUGAAAGACCACACCUAACAAGACAGACAAAACAACCAGUGUGACUCUGUUAUCUUUUAAAUAACAAUUGCUAAAUUAUCUUGUUUGCUUCAUUGUAAUUUGGUCAGUAAAGUGUCUAGAGUAGCACAUUUGGUCCCAUACGCUGCAAAUCUGAACUCAGUUGGAGUAAGAUCACAGUAUGAGGACAUAUUUUAGUGAAUCAAUCGAUGUAUGUGCUUGUCUAAAAGAAAGUGCAAAUGUCCUGUACUUUUCCAGUUGCAAAUGAUUUAUGUUGAGGUUUUUGUUGUGUAAAGGCAAAUGCUCAGAGGAAUUACACUGUGGAACCCCAUAGCUGUACAGAAGAUUGGAACCUGUAAUUCAUUCUUAAUAUUGUUUUACACCUAAUAAA
Molecule: long non-coding RNA, 1811 nt
Organism: Mobula hypostoma (lesser devil ray)
Lineage: Eukaryota; Metazoa; Chordata; Chondrichthyes; Myliobatiformes; Myliobatidae
Exons: 4
Source: RefSeq, a predicted model, not a curated record